CAGCAGUAAGGAAUCUUGCACAAUGGGGGAAACCCUGAUGCAGCGAUGCCGCGUGAGUGAAGAAGGCCCUUGGGUUGUAAAACUCUUUCGUCGGGGAAGAAAAUGACUGUACCCGAAUAAGAAGGUCCGGCCAACUUCGUGCCAGCAGCCGCGGUAAUACGAAGGGACCUAGCGUAGUUCGGAAUUACUGGGCUUAAAGAGUUCGUAGGUGGUUGAAAAAGUUGGUGGUGAAAUCCCAGAGCUUAACUCUGGAACUGCCAUCAAAACUUUUCAGCUAGAGUAUGAUAGAGGAAAGCAGAAUUUCUAGUGUAGAGGUGAAAUUCGUAGAUAUUAGAAAGAAUACCAAUUG
This 349-nucleotide ribosomal RNA is filed under the name uncultured bacterium. Its description in RNAcentral is "bacterial SSU rRNA". It matches the Rfam family "Bacterial small subunit ribosomal RNA", at positions 349 to 715 of the family's 1533-position model. The record is from RNAcentral.